Molecule: long non-coding RNA, 655 nt
Organism: Pristis pectinata (smalltooth sawfish)
Lineage: Eukaryota; Metazoa; Chordata; Chondrichthyes; Rhinopristiformes; Pristidae
Exons: 4
Source: RefSeq, a predicted model, not a curated record
CCCAGCCCCCGAUUGUUACUUGGAGGGGGAGGGUUGGGGGGGGCGCGGUGGGGGGAAGACACGCAGAUCCAUUUGGCAGAAGAUGCCUGCAGCUCCACAUUAGCCAGCAAAUCUGUCCCACCAGUGUCCCAAAGGGCCACUCGUGUGGACGGUGUGUCCAUGUCAGGUGUUUGUAACCCAAGGAGGACUUGUAAAUGGGCCUUUUUCUUUUUGACAGAAUACAAUGAGUGGUGUGCCACAAUGUUUUACUAUCUAUAUAAAUGACUUGGAUGAAGGCACCAAAGGUAUGGCUGCUAAAUCUGCUGAUGACACAAAGCCUUCGAAGUUCUCUGUACACCAGCACUGAUAACCUUUCAGUUGGUCCUGGCACGUUCCUCCAUUUUGGCAUGGGUUUGAUGCGCAUUGAUUGCCAUCUGCAGGUGACUGGACAUUCAGGACCAGGACAAGCCAGCAGCUGGGACCAGAGGCCACAAAAUCUCAUCUGAUGAGGUUAAGUAAAUCUAAUGAUCCGGCCUCCACCAACCACGGGAGCAGAGAAUUCCAGGGAUUCACCACCCUCGGAGAGAAGAAAGUUCUACAUACUAAAUAUUUUCAUAUAAACUUUAUAUAUAACUAAUGGAAAUCAAAAAAACUGCAGAUGCUGCAAAUCUGGAAU